UUUGAAUAUAUCUCUGCCUGAGCUAACGCGUUAAGUGCCCCGCCUGGGGAGUACGGCCGCAGGGCUAAAACUCAAAAGAAUUGACCGGGGCUCGCACAAGCGGUGGAGCAUGUGGCUUAAUUCGCUGCAACACGAAGAACCUUACCGGGGCUCGACAUGACAGAAGUAGGAGUCCGAAAGGACAACCAACGGUAUCCAGUCCGUAGCUGUCACAGGUGUUGCAUGGCGUCGUCAGCUCGUGUCGUGAGACGUUG
This 254-nucleotide ribosomal RNA is filed under the name uncultured bacterium. Its description in RNAcentral is "partial 16S ribosomal RNA". It matches the Rfam family "Bacterial small subunit ribosomal RNA", at positions 830 to 1077 of the family's 1533-position model. The record is from RNAcentral.